UGUUGUAACAAGUUUUAUGGGUAUAGAAACUUGAGGUUGGUCUAAACUUAAAAAAUUGGUCGGCGGUGAUUUUGAUUGAUAUCUCCAAAAAAAUUAAUUGAUUUUAAUUGUGAGUCCAAAAGAAAAUAAUUAGUUGUAAGAUUUUGAUGGGUGAGUCAAUGAAAACCAACUAACUUAGAUUAUAAACCCCUGAAAAUAAUCAGACUAUAAUAAUGAAGAGGUUAUAGUUGGAAUUCUAGAGUAGGUUUGCUUGGAGAGUGGACGUAAAUGUUGAAUUUAACACCGAAUCACUAUAAAAUUUUUUGAAUUUAUGAUUCUUUAUUUUACUUGUUUUCUUAAUUUUGUUGCCUUCAUUCAUUAUUUGCUUAUUGUUUUACAAAUACUGUUUGAAAUAUUUUUGGGCACAAUUAGUUAAAAUUUUUUUUUUUUAAGAUAUCCAAUUCAACCACCCCACCACACCCCCUCCCCCCGCCGGGGUUGCUGCCUUUGGGAAACACAAAAUAUGGUAGGGUUGAUUUUAUUGGUUAAGGUUGGUGGAUUAUAUUAGAUAGACUAGUGCUUAGAUUGGAUAAACUAGGUUUUGUUGCAAUGUAAGGAAGUCAAUCCCUUUGCAUCCCAAUGGUGUCUACAAUAUGCCCUCCUUUGAAAGAGGCCACAAAAAUGGGUGAAUGUCAAAGCAAAGGAUGACAAGACCUAGCAAUAGAGGUAAAAGGAAGCAACAACUCCUAGACAGGUUUGCCUUGAUUAUUGUCUUCAAAACUGCAUGAUGAUGCGGUGUAAAUGUUAAUACAAAUGUUAAUGCCAAUGUAAAAGCUAUAUUCAAAGACAUGGUAAAAGAAUAAGAGUUUGUCUGUAUUGAUGUAGAGCUGGACUCGAGGGAUGAAAAGCUUAUUAGCCAUCUAGUACAUAGACAAAUCCAAAGAGAUAUUGACUGAUAUUUCAGUCAGACCAUUAGGCUAUGCUGGGACUCGCAUUACAUGACUGCAUAUAUAACUUGAUAAUAAGUGUCAUCAACCACUUAGUGUGGAGUAUGAUCCUCAAGCAUAACUUAUUUUAGCCUUUGCUUGAAACCAUAAUUGAAAUACAUGCCAUAUUGUGGUGUAUUGUUGUGAUUUUAAGAAGGUCGAUGCAAUAUUUUUAUGACUUUCGGGGCAAUUUCUACAAAAGUGCAGGAGCAGUCAUUGUUAACGUUCUGCAAACCUAGAACGGCAGAACAAAUACCAACUAGUGUCAUUAUUAUUAUAGAGUGAACCCUUCCAAAAAGCGUAAGAACACCACUAGCUUGUUAGGGUUCACCAGGAAAAGAGUACUUUUGGGUUCCUUAAAAUCUUUUGCAACUUUUU
Molecule: long non-coding RNA, 1343 nt
Filed under: Elaeis guineensis (African oil palm)
Lineage: Eukaryota; Viridiplantae; Streptophyta; Magnoliopsida; Arecales; Arecaceae
Description: long non-coding RNA (EGUI_LNC065820)
Source: RNAcentral